This 28-nucleotide ribosomal RNA is filed under the name Oreasteridae sp. C6. RNAcentral's name for it is "partial 12S ribosomal RNA". The record is from RNAcentral. Lineage: Eukaryota; Metazoa; Echinodermata; Asteroidea; Valvatida; Oreasteridae.
CGUAUUGGGAAAUGCGCCUGCGACUAAA